AGCAGAAGGUGAGGUGAGGCUACCUGAACCCAGUGUGAGCUAACAGUACAGUAGGAUGUUAUGACUAGAACUGGGCUCAGCGCUGUCCUGUUAUGUUUGGCUUCACCCGCUGUAUGUGUUUAGAUGGUGAGAUAGCGACGGCAGAACGCUAAGCUGGAAGGCCCACACUGGAAAACUGCAGAUGAAGAGGAAAAAAAUAAGAAAACGCUGCACCUUCAGCCGACUGGUAUAAAUACAGACGUACCGACAAAAUCUCCCUAGGAAACGUCUGCUAGAUGGUUUGCAAACGUUCAGAAGGUUAGCGAGGCAGAGGAGGAGCAGCUGGAAGCCGAGCGGACGAGGAGACGGUCGGAAUGGAUUUAAAAACCUCGGCAGCAGCAGCAGGAGAUGGACGAGGUCCUGACAUGAAAAGUGAAAGACUGAAGCAGAAGAUGGAGACUCUCAUUUCCUGCCGUGCCGACUGCCAAUGACUUUCUUCUUUCUGCUGAAGCGAGGGAAUCUGUCUGAGGAGGCCGCGACCUCUGGAUCGGGGAAACCGACUCUCGCUGCAUAACAACGCUGCUUUUAUGGGCCUGGCGCGAGGAUAAAGGCUUUUUAAUGUACAUACCACGGCCCCGCUGCAUAAAUCACACUCACUUGUGCAGUCACGCAGACUUAACGGGAAUACUUUAACAUCAGCGAUUAGUCAAUCCAAAGACGUCUGUAAAUGUUACAUAAACCAAAACGGGUUCUAUUUUUACUCCAUCUAUGACUAUAUGCUCUGUGACUAUAACUGCAUGAAGCCUUUCACCUCGUUACUAAUCAGAUUAAAGGCUCUGUGAGAAUAAAUACAGGCCUUUCUGGAAGGCAUUCAGCAGAUCAAUAUUUAUCAUGUGAAAGUCUUAUUUUUACGACACUAUUUGGAGAAUCUGUGGUCUUUGUUGCUUGUUGUGCAACAGCUGUUUCCAUAAACCAACACAAAUGUGAAAAUCUACUUGAACUUUGACAUUAAAUAGUAAAUUGGAAUGGAAGCACAAAUACCUUCAUCAUAACCGUUGUUUGUGUGAAAGAUGCAGAUAUUAAAGAACAAAAGUAAGAACAGCUUCAACAUUCAAGUACUAAAGUGCCAGAAAAACAGAUAUUAAAGCACAGAAAUGCCAAAAACACAGAUAUUAAAGUACAAAAGUCACAAUAACUCUGAUAUAAUUGUACCAAAGUCUCAAAAACAUGAAAAUUAAAGCACAAAAAUGCCAAAAACCCAGAUAUUAGAGCACAAAGGUACAAAUAAUUUCAUCAUUAUUGCACUAAAAUGUCAAAAACCCACAUAUUAAUGCUCCAGAGUGUAGUAAAUCUGGAUAUUAAAACACAAAAAUCACAAUAACUUUAAUACAAUCAUACUAAAGUGUCAAAAAUAUGAAUAUUAAAGAACAAAAGUGUCACAAACCCAACUAUUAGAGCACAAAAGUAGAAAUAACUUCAUCAUUAAUGUACCAAAGUACCAAAAACCUAGAUGAUAGGGCACAAAUGUCCAAACACCUUCAUCAUAACUGCUGUAGUGUGAAAGGUCCAGAUAUAAAAGAACAAAAGUAACAACAGCUUCAACAUUCAAAUACUAAAGUACUAAAAAACAGGACUUUAGUGGCUUUAAUUUAUCACUAAAAACUGGCAGCAUCAAGACUGAAAUGUGUUUAUCGCAAAACUUGAAGGAAUCAUCUCGACCUUGAUGAGUUUUAUUGAAUAAAUGAAUAACGAACUGGGAGCAGGAGGGAGUUAAAUUAAAGUUCACAUUGUCCUGCAUGGUUCACUUUGACUUUUAAUAACUGUGGAGAAACACUCUGAACCUCUCUGUUGAUUUAUUUAUUUUUUAAAUCACCAAAAAAGGCUACAACCUGAAAGCGAAGCCAGAGAUGUGGAAGGUUGUGAACCGUCGCCAAAAGAGCCUUUUUGAUCUGAGCCGGACUUCAUCUCCUCUUUCUCAGUCUAAUCUUUAGCUGUGAGUCAUGAAAACAACCUUGAGUUUUCUGAGCUUUAAAGCUGCUCUAAUUAAUAUUUCUGACCCGAACACACUGCACUUGUUUCUGUUAACGUGACUGAGCACAAAUGCUCGCUUUCCCACAAAAGUUGAGGCGGCAAUUUUACUAGAUUGGACGUUGUGAGAUUUUACUUUAAAUAAGAAACAAGUCCUGCAUGUGGAAGCGACACACUUUGAAUUGAAGCUUUUUAAGUAUUUGAGCACCAACAGGCUCAGUUUGUAACCCACAAAACACCUUCCUCGUUCAGGAAGUUCUAAAAUCCCACAUCUACUACACAUUAAAAUAUCUCUAACGAGAAAAGCACUCAGAGAGCGCAGUACUCCGCCAAGGCUGCUCAGUCAUUGGUCAUUCGUUUUGUGGUUGUUUUGCAUCAAAUUUUGCUAAUUUAGUGUCUUUGUGUUUGCUUUGCAUCUUUUUAUGGAUGUUUUGCAUCUCAUUUGGAUUGUUUUGUGUUUGUUGUACAUCUUUUUUGUGGUUGUUUAGUGUGUCAUUGAUUUGCUUUGUGUUUAUUUUGCAUCUUUUGUUAUUGUUUUGUGUCCAAUUUGUUUUUUUUUGUGGUUCUUUAACAUCUUUAGUGGUUGUUUCACAUCUCAUUUGGGUUUGUUUAACAUAUUUUUCUGAUUGUUUAGCAUCUCAUUGGUAUAUUUUCUAUUUGUUUCACAUCUUUUUGAGGUUGUUUAGCAUCUCAUUGGUUUGUUUUGUAUUUGUUUUGCAUCUUUUUGAGGAAGGUUUCCAUCUCAUUUGGCUGUUUUGUGUUUGUUUUGCAUCUUUUUGUUGUUGUUUUGCAUCUAACUUGGUUGUUUUGCAUUUGUUUUGCAUCUUUUUGUCAUUGUUUUGUGAUAAUUCUGCACCUUUCUGUGGUUGUUUUAAGUGUGAUUUUGGUUAUUUUACAUUUCUUUGUGUUUGCUUUGCAUCUUAUUGUGGUUGUUUUGUGAAGGAAGCAUAAAAGGCCAAAAACUAACAGGCAUGAAAACAUUCUUUUAAAUAAUUUGCUCACAAUUUUCAGAAAAAGCGAGACAAUUAAAAAAAAACAAAAAACAAUUACAGCUGAAUGCACAUUUCCAGAACUAUCUAUUACUUCUGCUUGGUGACAAAAAAAAUCUGGUUUUACAGAUAAUAGAGCAGAAAAGUGUCCUGUUUGUGCCGCUGUGAUGCAGAUUAGAUCUUUCCCUUCUCUGACUUCCAUUAAACUCUCUCUGUAGGGAUCCAUCUCACUCUAUUGAUUCGGCUUGAUGGGUGAGCUUUCUUGAAUUAAAAACGAUAAUCCUCCCCCACCUUCCUCUCAAAAUAUGUGACUCGUGCACCGCUGAACUUCAAAAUAACUCGAAAAAGACUCCGGUUUUA
Long non-coding RNA from Amphiprion ocellaris (clown anemonefish), 3356 nucleotides. RefSeq lists it as uncharacterized. Lineage: Eukaryota; Metazoa; Chordata; Actinopteri; Pomacentridae. The record is from RefSeq and is a predicted model, not a curated record. The transcript has 3 exons.